CCCUUAGAUGUUCUGGGCUGCACGCGUGCUACAAUGAAGCGUCCAACAAGAUGCGAAGCCGAAAGGCUCAGCGGAUCUUUGAAGUCGUUUCGUGACCGGGACAGUUGAUUGCAAUUAUUCGACUCGAACGAGGAAUUCCUUGUAAUCGCGAUUCAUCAUAUUGCGCUGAAUACGUCCCUGCCCUUUGUACACACCGCCCGUCGCUCCUACCGAUUGAGCGAUCCGGUGAAUUAUUUGGAGUGUCCACGCAAGCCAAUCCGUUUACGUGGGUGCGAAAUUUUGUAAACCUUAUCGCUUAGAGGAAGGAAAAGUCGUAACA
RNAcentral lists this ribosomal RNA (319 nucleotides) under uncultured eukaryote. RNAcentral's name for it is "partial 18S ribosomal RNA". It matches the Rfam family "Eukaryotic small subunit ribosomal RNA", at positions 1470 to 1796 of the family's 1831-position model. The record is from RNAcentral.